GUAGGUGAACCUUCGGAAGGAUCAUUAACGAGAGAGGGGUCACCGCCCCGGGGCCUUCGGGCCCCACCUCUUCACCCUGUGCGUACCUACCUUUGUUGCUUUGGCGGACCUCGGGGCGACCCGACGUCGGCCCGGGGUUGCCCGGGCCCACGCGCGCCCGCCGGAGACCCUUCAAACCUCGUCGUCAGUGGAGUCUGAGCACAAACGAAUAACUAAAACUUUCAACAACGGAUCUCUUGGUUCUG
RNAcentral lists this unclassified non-coding RNA (245 nucleotides) under rhizosphere metagenome. RNAcentral's name for it is "partial ribosomal RNA internal transcribed spacer region". The record is from RNAcentral.